RNAcentral lists this ribosomal RNA (327 nucleotides) under uncultured eukaryote. Its description in RNAcentral is "partial 18S ribosomal RNA". It matches the Rfam family "Eukaryotic small subunit ribosomal RNA", at positions 1470 to 1796 of the family's 1831-position model. The record is from RNAcentral.
CCCUUAGAUGUUCUGGGCUGCACGCGCGCUACACUGAUGCGUUCAACGAGUCUGCCUUGGCCGAGAGGUCUGGGUAAUCUUGUGAAAGCGCAUCGUGAUGGGGAUAGAUUAUUGCAAUUGUUAGUCUUCAACGAGGAAUUCCUAGUAAGCGCGAGUCAUCAACUCGUGCUGAUUACGUCCCUGCCCUUUGUACACACCGCCCGUCGCUCCUACCGAUUGAAUGAUCCGAUGAAUAUCAUGGACUGAGAGUGUUAGAGUUUUCGGACUUCUACACUUCUCGGGAAGUGAAGUGAAUCUUAUCAUUUAGAGGAAGGAGAAGUCGUAACA